This 1414-nucleotide ribosomal RNA is filed under the name alkali sediment metagenome. Its description in RNAcentral is "bacterial SSU rRNA". It matches the Rfam family "Bacterial small subunit ribosomal RNA". The record is from RNAcentral.
AGGGUUUGAUCCUAGCUCAGGAUGAACGCUGGCGGCGUGCCUAAUGCAUGCAAGUCGAACGGUACUUUGAUUUCGGUUAGAGUGCAGUGGCGAACGGCUGAGUAACGCAAAGGUAACCUACCCCUCAGUGGGGAAUAUCUCCGAGAAAUCGGAGCCAAUACCGCAUAUCGUCCUCACACGCGAGUGUGAUGAUGAAAGCUCUCGGGCGCUGGGGGAUGGGCUUUUGUCCCAUCAGGCAGUUGGCAGGGUAACGGCCUACCAAACCGAAGACGGGUAGCUGGUCUGAGAGGAUGGUCAGCCAGAUGGGGACUGAGAUACGGCCCCAACUCCUACGGGAGGCAGCAGCAAGGGAUAUUGCGCAAUGGACGAAAGUCUGACGCAGCGACGCCGCGUGAGGGAUGAAGGCCUUCGGGUCGUAAACCUCUUUUAUUGGUGAAGAGCAAGGACGGUAACCAAUGAAUAAGCCCCGGCUAACUACGUGCCAGCAGCCGCGGUAAUACGUAGGGGGCAAGCGUUAUCCGGAUUUACUGGGCGUAAAGAGCGCGUAGGCGGCUUCUUAAGUUGGCAGUGAAAGAUUCCGGCUCAACUGGGAUAAGCCUGUCAAUACUGGGAGGCUUGAGGGCACCAGAGGAAAGUGGAACUCGCGGUGUAGCGGUGAAAUGUGUAGAUAUCGCGAGGAACACCAGUGGCGAAGGCGGCUUUCUGGGGUGUUCCUGACGCUGAGGCGCGAAAGCGUGGGGAGCGAAGCGGAUUAGAUACCCGCGUAGUCCACGCCCUAAACGGUGGAUACUUGGUAUGGGGGGUAUCGACCCCUUCCGUGCCGAAGCCAACGCUUUAAGUAUCCCGCCUGGGAACUACGGUCGCAAGACUAAAACUCAAAGGAAUUGACGGGGGCCCGCACAAGCAGCGGAGCGUGUGGUUUAAUUCGAUGCAACACGAAGAACCUUGCUACAUGGCUGUCGUCAGCUCGUGCCGUGAGGUGUUGGGUUAAGUCCCAUAACGAGCGCAACCCCUGUUCUGUGUUGAUUUCUCACAGGAGACUGCCCAGGAAUUCUGGGAGGAAGGUGGGGAUGACGUCAAGUCAGCAUGGCCUUUAUGCCUUGGGCGACACACACGCUACAAUGGGUGGUACAGAGGGCAGCUAAAGAGCGAUCUGGAGCUAAUCCCACAAAGCCACCCCCAGUUCAGAUUGCAGGCUGAAACUCGCCUGCAUGAAGUUGGAGUUGCUAGUAACCGCAGGUCAGAAUACUGCGGUGAAUACGUUCUCGGGCCUUGUACACACCGCCCGUCACGUCAUGAAAGCUGGCAACACCUGAAGUCGAUGCGCUAACUCGCAAGAGAGGCAGUCGCCGAAGGUGGGGUUAGUAAUUGGGACGAAGUCGUAACAAGGUAGCUGUACCGGAAGGUGCGGCUG